This 253-nucleotide ribosomal RNA is filed under the name uncultured bacterium. RNAcentral's name for it is "partial 16S ribosomal RNA". It matches the Rfam family "Bacterial small subunit ribosomal RNA", at positions 524 to 776 of the family's 1533-position model. The record is from RNAcentral.
UACGGGGGGGGCAAGCGUUGUUCGGAAUUACUGGGCGUAAAGGGCGCGUAGGCGGCCUUCUAAGUCGAACGUGAAAUCCCUGGGCUCAACCCAGGAACUGCGUCCGAUACUGGAAGGCUUGAAUCCGGGAGAGGGAUGCGGAAUUCCAGGUGUAGCGGUGAAAUGCGUAGAUAUCUGGAGGAACACCGGUGGCGAAGGCGGAUCUCUGGGCCUUACCUGACGCUGAGGUGCGAAAGCUAGGGGAGCGAACAGG